AAACCGAGGCUCAGGGUGGUCAGUGGGCAGCGCAGAGCGGGCUCCCUGCUUGGCCGUGGGGCGCACCUGGGGCCCCCCGUGGGGCCCUCCUCAGCUAGCGCUGGCUCCUCCAGCCUGGGGCCUGGGGCCCAUCCAAGUGGAAACCCAAUCGGCUGGGCCGCGCAGCCGUGUAACCAGGCCCUCCUCGGCCAGAAAUCUCAGCCGCCGGCUGGGCUGGCCAGGAACCUGAGCCGGCCCGGUGGCCUGAGCUUCCUGAUGUCUCCCCUACGCCCAGCCCGGUGCCAGCUGCUGGGGAGACAGGGGACCAGCCCCUCCCCUUGGCCUGCACUGUCCACUGGGACACAGUCCUGAACCCUGUUCCCUCCACUUCCCAGGUCCCCAGUGAGUAAUUUGGCCUGUCUGAGUCAUCCGGGCUGCUGAGACCCCUAGCACUGGGGGCACACAGGUGCACCUGAGGACACGUGUGCCCACACCUAUGACCCAGAACACGUAGUGGCCAGGCUGGGGGGUUGGUCCAGACCCAGGUAGGACUCAGCGAUAAACCCACUGUGCACAGGGCCAGGGGGCUGCAUUCUGUGCCCUCUUAGCUAAGCCAGAGCGAAGGGAGCCCCAGAGCAGCUGGGGACCCCAGGAAAGAACAUAGCACCCUCUUCCCACCGCGAGGCCCCACAGAACGGUCAGCUCAGCGUCCCGUCUUUUGGGGACCCUGGUCCUUCCUUUUCUGAUCCACUUUCAGGCUCUGUGUUAAGUAGGACUCAGUUCUAUGCCUCACCCCUGGAUGUCCUCGGAAAGGGACUCGGCACCCCUGAGCCCACCAGGGGCGGCAGGACCGAGUGUGGAUCGUGCCAUCUGAGUGGGCCUUCCUGACCUUUCAGGGGCUUGUCACAGACAGCCUGGAAGGUGACCAUCACCGGACUACUUACCAAAGGGGAAACCAAGGCCCAGAGAUGGGCAGAGUCUCACCCAGCAUCACACAGCACAUGGGGCAAGCCAGAGCCCAGGCCUGGAGGGCUGGGGCUUCGCAUUUUGUGUGCUGCCAGGAUGGCGAGGAGGAUGCUAAGUUUUCUGCCGGGAGUACCAGGCUGGUCUGUCCAGGAUGGGUACAGGACCCCGCUCCCCUCGGCCAAGAUGGCUCUAAAGCCGACCUGCUGAGACAGCCCAGAAGCCGUGCAAGACCUACUCCUUCUGGCAGGAAGCACACACCGUCCUGGUGGUCCAGGUCUGGCCAAACGCAGCCCUGCUGACGUGCAUCUGACGAGGAUGAGGGCCUGGUCCCUCAUCCCUCCCUGAGUCAGAAGGACUCCAGGUCCCUCAAAGGCCCUGGCUCAGGGGCCUCCUGUCUACCCCUAGUUGCUCCCUCUCUGUGGGUGGGGGGACCCUGGAGGGCAGGGCCCAGGCUGGGUCAUCCUGGUUCCCAAACACGUAGGCAGGGGACUGCAGAAGUGGGUGGAAAGUUCUGUGUCCAGCUCUGAAAUCUCCGCUCUGGGGACACAGCUGAGCAGGUUGUGUGUUGGCAGCCUCGGCAAACUCACUCAUCUACAUCGCAGAGCUGUAGGGAGGGGACAGCCAUGCCACAAGCCUUGUGGGAUCUCAGUUCCCCGACUAGGGAUUGAACCCAGGCCACGGCAAUGAAAGUGCGGGGUCCUAACCGCUAGACCACCAGGGAAUUCCCAUGAAGGGGUAUUUUAAACAAGAGGCCACCCAAAUCUCCACAUCGCCAGGAAAGAUAAAAAGAGUGUUGACAUCACAGGUCAUCCGGGAGUUGCAAAUGCAAACCACAGUGAGAUCCCACUUCACACGCAAGGACAGAUUCUCUAUGAUCCUGCGUUCAUCUGUGUGCAGAAGUCAGGCCAACGGUGCCCUUUGGGGAGGACCGACUGGAAAGGAUGUGAUGGAGGGACCUGCACAUGUCUCUUGAUCUGGGUGCUGGGUCAGACUUGAGCCUUGUUCUCCGGAAGUCUCCAGGGAAAACAACUGUUUGAUAUCCUGAACGUGUGAGGAGCUGAACUAGAGGAAGAGCAACGCAGCCCAAGGAUCAAGCAAGGCUUUCCACAGGAGGGGUCUUUUUGGCUGGGCUUUGAAGUAUGAAUAGGAGUUCACAAAGGAGACAAUUUAGAGGGUGCUUGACAGAAGGUAUUUUGGGAGAACUGCAAAUAUCUGAUGUGGCUGGGAACUUUGGAAAUUGAGUCUAUAGAAACCUUAAUGGGGAGAUCUGGGCUCAACACCAUUUUUGUUCUGGCCAACACUCGGUAGAGUACAUGGAGGCCCCAUCUGAGAAAGACCCCAGCUGGGUGAGCAGGACUGGGGUGGGCAUGGAGUUCGUGGAGCCCUCUUAGCACAGCUCAGUGGGGGCUGUGAGUCCUUACCCCUUGGAAGGAAUGUACUGGGCCUUGAAUUCAGGUCCCAUUGUACAGGUGGGGAGACUGAGGUAGGCAGGGUCAGAGCUAGGCUCGAAUAGCUGGGUUAAGCUUGGGUUCUGGAGCCCAUAAGGGCAAGAAACAGGCCCUCCUGGAAGUUGGACACCCUGCAGACGCAAGUUUACCGGGCCAGCCUCCGGGGUCCAGCGCUGGGGGUACCAUGACACUCACCAAAGAACUGGCUGGAAACAAGGAACUAGAACUCUGCAACAGGUGACAGCUGCAGGGCCUCUGUGCUGCCCUCCCCCAAAGCUGUCAGGUGCCCCUUCCUCUCCUAGUCAGCCUCAACCUUGGCCCAGAGAAGGAAAGCAAGAUGCAGGGCCACACAGCAAGAAUGUAGCCUUGGAACUCAGCCAGGAGGUGGGAAAGUGCUUCCCAGGUCUGGAGAUUUGCUGGCGCCCAGGAUGCCUGGGGUGGGUGUGUUCUCAGAGGACUGGCAUGAACUCAGGAGCUGGGACUUUGUCCGCAAUGGUAAUGGGGAGCUAUAGAGGGUGGGGGAGCGGGAGAGGGGAGGGCCAUGUCUGAUGUUUCAGCAGAUGGCUCUACAUUAUGAAAGGGCCCAGGAGGCUCCAAAACCAACUCUGUAGCCUCAGAUUUCAGAUUUCUGUCUGUCUCUGGCCAAGUAGAAGUUUGUAUUAGAAAUACUAGCGCUAUACAAAUAAUUAUAAUAAUAGUAACGAGAAUAAUAACCUAUGUGUCUGUGAUACUCUUUCAUUUUUCUGAUGUUCUAUAAUUUGAUUUUAUCCCAUGGCAACCCCAAGAGGCAGGAAGGGCAGCUUUCAUCAUGAUGUUUUAAGUUGUGGGUAGCAAAGCUGACAGUCGAGGUUGGGGACCUGCCUGGGGUAUGGGGAGCAUGCAGCUCACUCACGUUCAUGCAGGGCCACGCUUACCUGCAUGAGGUGAGGUGGUGAGCCCCCAGCUGGGACCGACUGUCGCUACAUGCCCAGAUGCCCUUCAUGAGCCUCUAGGAGGCAGGCCCUGUCCUGCUCACUCCCCAUUAACUGCCCCAUGAGGCAGGGGCCUUGAUGUUUCCCCAAACCCAGGUGGAGCCCAGAGGAGUGAGGGGACAUGCCCAAGGUCACACACAGCCAGGGAAAGAUGGCAAGAGGGGGCAUAUCUGCCAUCUCUGUGACUCUGGGCAAGUCACUUUACUUGCAAAGGGCCUCAGUUUUCUCACCUGUAAAAUGGGGGUGAGGACUUCCCUGGUGUCACAGUGGUUAAGA
Non-coding RNA from Delphinapterus leucas (beluga whale), 3640 nucleotides. The record is from RefSeq and is a predicted model, not a curated record. NCBI's taxonomy places the organism in Eukaryota, Metazoa, Chordata, Mammalia, Artiodactyla, Monodontidae.